This 326-nucleotide ribosomal RNA is filed under the name uncultured eukaryote. RNAcentral's name for it is "partial 18S ribosomal RNA". It matches the Rfam family "Eukaryotic small subunit ribosomal RNA", at positions 1470 to 1796 of the family's 1831-position model. The record is from RNAcentral.
CCCUUAGAUGUCCUGGGCCGCACGCGCGCUACACUGAACGGAUCAGCGCGUUUUCCCUUCCCGAGAGGGACGGGUAACCUGCUGAACCCCGUUCGUGGUAGGGAUCGGGGCUUGCAAUUAUUCCCCGUGAACCAGGAAUGCCCAGUAAGUGCAAGUCAUAAGCUUGCGUUGAUUACGUCCCUGCCCUUUGUACACACCGCCCGUCGCUACUACCGAUUGAACGUUUUAGUGAGGUACUCUGACUGAGCCUCAGAAGAUUCACGUCUUUUGUGCUGCUCGGGAAGAUUCCCAAACUUGAGCGUUUAGAGGAAGUAAAAGUCGUAACA